GUGUGCCUCUUACUUGGAACCCACUUUCCCUCCAUUUCCUUUCUUCUAUGUAGCAAGCCGGCAAAAGGCAGUGGAAGGGACUUCUGGGGACGGUCCUGUCAUUUCCUGCAGUAUUUUCGUGAGUCAUUCAGCAUCGGUCUCUUCCCUACUCCUAUUGUCUGGCUGGAGAGAAGCACCCUUUCAUAGCUCUACCCCUUUCUUUUAUGGAUGGAGAAAAUGAGGCCCAGAAAAAUAAAUGGAUUUGUCCAAGAUAACCCUGAUUGUUUAAUCAGGGUGUUGCAGAGCUCACAUCCGCUGGUCAUGUGUUUGCUGGAGGACUCAACUUUUGGAGUCUCUGAUUUUUAUUUGUAAAAAAGAGGUAGUAGUAUAGUUCUUGAAGAUUCAUCUUACAGAAGUAAAUUGAUGGAAAAACUACUUUAUUAAGGCAUAAUUGACAUAAAAUAAACAGCAUGCACUUAAAGUGUACAAUUUGAUAAGCAUUGACUUAUGUGUACAUCCAUGAAACUGUCACUACAAUCAAGAUGGCAAACAGCCCUCAUCCCCAAGAGGUUCCCUGUGCCCCUUGUCAUCCUUCCCUGCAUUCCUCCCUCUCUUCCUCCCUAGACAAUCACUGAUCUGCUUAGUUUACAUUUUCUGGAGUUUUAUAUAGUGGAAUCACACAGAUUUUAUUCUUUUUUGUAUGACUUCUUUUACUCAACAUAAUUGUUUUGACAUUCAUUCUUUAUAUGGAAUGAAUCAAUAUUUAUUCUUUUUAUUUUUGAGUAGGAUUUUAAGGUAUGGAUACAUCUCAACUUGCUUAUUCAU
Molecule: long non-coding RNA, 804 nt
Filed under: Homo sapiens (human)
Lineage: Eukaryota; Metazoa; Chordata; Mammalia; Primates; Hominidae
Description: HSALNT0265398
Source: RNAcentral